UGUAACCCAUGUUAAAAUCUGACAUAAAUAGUAGAAUAAAUAGUUGGUUAAAAGUCUGUAGACAGAAAAUAACGUCGCUGUUCCUUUAAGGAACCAGCGUUACAGACGCGGCGCCUGGAUGACGCUGCAGUGCACAGAGCUGAGGGAGAGAGCAGAGGAGGAAUCGGAGAGAAAGAGCGGUGAUUAAUUAACAGGAAAAGUUAAUAUUAUAGAAAAAGAAAAACACAAUUUACCUGGUCGGGAACUGACGGGGAUUUUAUGAGAACCAAGUUACAUCGGUUUUGGUCAGGUUUUUUGUCCGGUUGGAAGCUCGGUCGGAGCGAGGAUUGGUCUGCGACAUACACAUUCACAGACGGGAUUCAAGAUGGCGAGCCAGACCUAGACCUUCAAUUCAUCUUCUCCAUUGCAUCAGGGAGGGACUCUCCCGCGUGUGGUAAUCCGCUGCUGGAGCGGUAGGAAUAUCAGGGACUAGUUCGAACCGAACUGAACAGAACUGAAAACUGAUUGAAUUAUUAUCUUUUGGACUGAAUCAAACUGAGACUUUUUAUUGAACUGAGUACCUGAAUUUACAUUUAGACCUGAACUUGAAUUUAAAGUGCCAUACUUUGAUUUUCAUAUGUUAUGUCUCUGAAUGUGAUUUGAGUAAUUGUGGUCCACUUUGAUUUCAUUGUGUUUGAAGGUAUUUCCCUACCUGUAAAAAAAAGAAAAAUGAGUUAACUC
Molecule: long non-coding RNA, 720 nt
Organism: Xiphophorus couchianus (Monterrey platyfish)
Lineage: Eukaryota; Metazoa; Chordata; Actinopteri; Cyprinodontiformes; Poeciliidae
Exons: 3
Source: RefSeq, a predicted model, not a curated record